RNAcentral lists this ribosomal RNA (253 nucleotides) under uncultured bacterium. RNAcentral's name for it is "partial 16S ribosomal RNA". It matches the Rfam family "Bacterial small subunit ribosomal RNA", at positions 524 to 776 of the family's 1533-position model. The record is from RNAcentral.
UACGUAGGGUGCAAGCGUUGUCCGGAAUUAUUGGGCGUAAAGCGCGCGUAGGUGGCCCCAUAAGUCCGCUGUGAAAGUCAAAGGCUCAACCUUUGAAAGCCGGUGGAUACUGUGGGACUAGAGUACGGAAGAGGCGAGUGGAAUUCCUGGUGUAGCGGUGGAAUGCGCAGAUAUCAGGAGGAACACCAGUGGCGAAGGCGAGUCCCUGGACAAAACCUGACACUGAGGCACGAAAGCUAGGGGAGCAAACAGG